AAACCGUGGUGAGGACAUUCUCUAAUGUAGCUUUUAUAACGAUCCCAAGCUUCAUGAAAAGAUUCGCCUCCUUUUUGUUUUGUUGGAACCUAAAAAUCUUGUCUCUUAAGAAGUUU
Molecule: small nucleolar RNA, 116 nt
Filed under: Eutrema salsugineum
Lineage: Eukaryota; Viridiplantae; Streptophyta; Magnoliopsida; Brassicales; Brassicaceae
Description: Plant small nucleolar RNA R71
Rfam family: Plant small nucleolar RNA R71
About the family: R71 is a member of the C/D box family of snoRNAs containing the C (UGAUGA) and D (CUGA) box motifs. Multiple nearly identical copies of this snoRNA have been identified in Arabidopsis, and it is thought to function as a 2'-O-ribose methylation guide for 18S ribosomal RNA.
Source: Rfam by way of RNAcentral